GACGAACGCUGGCGGCGUGCUUAACACAUGCAAGUCGAACGGUGAAAGCGGAGCUUGCUCCGCUGGAUCAGUGGCGAACGGGUGAGUAACACGUGGGCAACCUGCCCCUCACUUCGGGAUAACUCCGGGAAACCGGGGCUAAUACCGGAUAUGACCUCCUUGGGCAUCCUUGGAGGUGGAAAGUUUUUCGGUGAGGGAUGGGCCCGCGGCCUAUCAGCUUGUUGGUGAGGUAGUGGCUCACCAAGGCGACGACGGGUAGCCGGCCUGAGAGGGCGACGGGCCACACUGGGACCGAGACACGGCCCAGGCUACGACGGGAGGCAGAAGUGGGGAAUAUUGCGCAAUGGGCGAAAGCCUGACGCAGCAACGCCGCGUGCGGGAUGACGGCCUUCGGGUUGUAAACCGCUUUCAGCAGGGAAGAAGCCGCAAGGUGACGGUACCUGCAGAAGAAGCACCGGCUAACUACGUGCCAGCCGCCGCAGUAA
This 485-nucleotide ribosomal RNA is filed under the name uncultured bacterium. Its description in RNAcentral is "partial 16S ribosomal RNA". It matches the Rfam family "Bacterial small subunit ribosomal RNA", at positions 28 to 523 of the family's 1533-position model. The record is from RNAcentral.